Molecule: ribosomal RNA, 211 nt
Filed under: Hylomyrma reginae
Lineage: Eukaryota; Metazoa; Arthropoda; Insecta; Hymenoptera; Formicidae
Description: partial large subunit ribosomal RNA
Source: RNAcentral
GAAUUUUAUAUAUUUAGAUUAAUAAUUAAUUAAAUUUUUUUUGUUAAUUAAGUAUAUUUAGUUGGGAGAAUUAUUAGAUUAUAAUAAUUUUAAUUUUUUAAAAAUAUUGAUUUAUAAAUAAAAGAAUGAUAUUUUUAUGGUUGAAAAAUUAAUUACCUUAGGGAUAACAGCGUAAUAUUUUUGGAGAGUUCUUAUUGAUAAAAAUGAUUGC